CCUACGGGGGGCUGCAGUGGGGAAUAUUGCACAAUGGGCGAAAGCCUGAUGCAGCAACGCCGCGUGAGCGAUGAAGGCCUUCGGGUCGUUAAGCUCUGUCAUUAAGGAAGUUAAUGACGGUACUUGAGGAGGAAGCCCCGGCUAACUACGUGACAGCAGCCGCGGUAAUACGCAGGGGGCUAGCGUUAUCCGGAUUUACUGGGCGUAAUGGGUGCGUAGGUGGUUUCUUAAGUCAGAGGUGAAAGGCUACGGCUAAACCGUAGUAAGCCUUUGAAACUGGGAAACUUGAGUGCAGGAGAGGAGAGUGGAAUUCGUGGUGUAGCGGUGAAAUGCGUAGAUAUUAGGAGGAACACCGGUUGCGAAGGCGGCUCUCUGGACUGUAACUGACACUGAGGCACGAAAGCGUGGGGAGCAAACAGGAUUAGAUACCCGAGUAGUC
Molecule: ribosomal RNA, 439 nt
Filed under: uncultured bacterium
Lineage: Bacteria
Description: partial 16S ribosomal RNA
Rfam family: Bacterial small subunit ribosomal RNA
Source: RNAcentral